Molecule: non-coding RNA, 93 nt
Filed under: Mycolicibacterium insubricum
Lineage: Bacteria; Bacillati; Actinomycetota; Actinomycetes; Mycobacteriales; Mycobacteriaceae
Description: Mycobacterium insubricum TPP sequence
Rfam family: TPP riboswitch aptamer (THI element)
About the family: Vitamin B(1) in its active form thiamin pyrophosphate (TPP) is an essential coenzyme that is synthesised by coupling of pyrimidine and thiazole moieties in bacteria. The previously detected thiamin-regulatory element, thi box was extended, resulting in a new, highly conserved RNA secondary structure, the THI element, which is widely distributed in eubacteria and also occurs in some archaea.
Source: Rfam by way of RNAcentral
GCGAAAGACACGGGGUGCCCGCAACGGGCUGAGAACACACCCGCAGAACCUGAUCGAGUUCGCACUCGCGGAGGGAUGUUGAUGGGCACCGCU